UGCGCAGACGGUAUAUUAAGUCAACUGUUAAAUUUCCCGGCCUAACUGGGAGCCAGCAGUAGAAACUGAUAUGCUUGAGGGUGGAAGAGGGAGUGGAAUUCUCGGAGUAGCGGUAAAAUGCGUAGAUCUCGAGAGGAACACCGAUGGCGAAGGCAGCUUCCUGGUCCAUUUCUGACGUUCAUGCACGAAAGCGUGGGAGCAAACA
Molecule: ribosomal RNA, 205 nt
Filed under: uncultured bacterium
Lineage: Bacteria
Description: partial 16S ribosomal RNA
Rfam family: Bacterial small subunit ribosomal RNA
Source: RNAcentral